Molecule: long non-coding RNA, 1603 nt
Organism: Cavia porcellus (domestic guinea pig)
Lineage: Eukaryota; Metazoa; Chordata; Mammalia; Rodentia; Caviidae
Exons: 2
Source: RefSeq, a predicted model, not a curated record
UCACGGCGCGGGAAAACGGCUGACGUUUGCGCCCCGCCCCGCUGCAAAGGCCGACGGGAGAUAUAGUCCAUGAUCCCAGCGAGGCUCCUUUGCUAGUCUCUUGCGUUUCCUGUGUCUGUGUCAUCAUGUACUUCCUCUGCCACACGUACCCAGUUUCAUCAUCCUGAUGGGCUGCAUUUUCAUGGAGUUACUACGUAAUCCCUACCAUACAGGGACGCUCUGAGGGACAGCCGAGAUGCUGGGCACGUUGCUCACCUCUAUUGGUCAACUCUCCGAAGUGUCCUGUGGCUGCUUGGACCGGAGUCACCUGCCACACAUGGCCUCUGCAGGCAGAAGCUGGGCUUCAGUGGUCACCAGGGCUGAGUCGGGAACCCAGCAUCGAGAAGAGGAGGGCUCGGCUGGGGAACCUGAGCAUGAGAAUCCUGCCUGGGAAGGUCAGGGGAGGCCUUUGGUCACAGUCACCCUCUGAGGUGGCAUUUUUGCCAUCUCCCUCGUCUGCAGAAUGCUAGGUGCCGGAGGGGCAGCACCCUUCCAGGGUGCAGUGCAGACUUCAGCUGCCCUGGUCUGGGAAUGAAGUCUGAGGCCCAUUCUGGGCAGCAGCUCCACCUCAGUAGCAAUUACAGCGAGGCCUUAUCAUCACUCGCUGUGCCCUGGCGGUGUUAGGGAAGGGAGAGGAAUGGGGCUGCACCAGAAUGACCAGCCUGGCAGCAUCCUGAGUGCACAUGCACACAGACACAGCUCCCUGGCCAGAAGCAAGGCCCAUUCAGGCCAGGUCCACGUGCAGGCCAUUUAGAAUCACCACAACUAAAUCAAUAGGCAGUUUAUUAAUCAUUAAUAACAUUGAUAGGUCAAAUCACCUGGGAAAUUGGGAUGAAAAUGAAGAGGGGGGAUGAAAAUGAAGAGGGUCCUUCCUCCCCCUUCCCGCCCCUCUGUAGUAUGUGAGUCAUUCAGUCACACACCUUCAAUGAAUCAACACAGGACUGGACUUGAAGACCUGUGCUAGUACUAGCGAUAAGAGCAAAAGUUAAUAGGCUCAUUACACCUUCUGAUGGUGUCAGCUGACCACAGCCUGACGUUUCCACAUUGGAAGUCAAAGUUCAAGAAAACCAAGAAGUUUACAGCUUAAAAAGCGGAGGAAAAACAGCCAACACCCACAUCAAAACAAAGGACCGCAGGCCUGAGUCUGAGAGCAGGACAGGUAGAGGACCCUGGGGAACAGGAGGCAAGGGUGUGAGGCCAGGAGUCCCCGCGAAGUCAGGUGGCAGAGUUCAGGAGCCCAGGGCUGCUCACUCAGUCCACAGCCUCCACCUGGGCCGGCGCUGGGGGCAGGGACUGUCCCCUCCCUAGGCCACCUCACAGGUGACUUUCCAAAGAGCACACGAUUUGCAGCUUUGUGUUUUUGGUUUUGGCAAGGUUUAAUUAAACUGCACAGCAUCCAAGAGAAAGAAUUGUACCAAAGAAUCCAACCUGAGGUGAGAUCAUACACUUUUGGGGUGGGGGAAGAUAUCAGUACUAUUUGGGAGAGAGAGCAUUGAUUGUAAUGGGAAUAUAACUCCAAGACAAAUCAUACAAUAAAUUAUUCUUUAAAAGAAACUGAUCCACA